Non-coding RNA from Podarcis lilfordi (Lilford's wall lizard), 212 nucleotides. NCBI's taxonomy places the organism in Eukaryota, Metazoa, Chordata, Lepidosauria, Squamata, Lacertidae. The record is from the annotation of a GenBank genome assembly.
AGUGUGUGUGUGUGUGUGUGUGUGUGUGUGUGUGUGUGUGGAGGGGGGAUAGUUUCCUGUUUAACCCCGGCUCCCUCGGCCAAUAAAGUGAGAUGAGCGCCGCAACCCCAGAGUCGGUCACGACUGGACCUAAUGGUCAGGGGUCUCUUUACCUUUUUUAAUUCUUUGAUCAAAAUCACACACACACACACACACACACACACACACACACA